Molecule: ribosomal RNA, 1441 nt
Filed under: Escherichia coli
Lineage: Bacteria; Pseudomonadati; Pseudomonadota; Gammaproteobacteria; Enterobacterales; Enterobacteriaceae
Description: partial 23S ribosomal RNA
Rfam family: Bacterial large subunit ribosomal RNA
Source: RNAcentral
GGGACACGUGGUAUCCUGUCUGAAUAUGGGGGGACCAUCCUCCAAGGCUAAAUACUCCUGACUGACCGAUAGUGAACCAGUACCGUGAGGGAAAGGCGAAAAGAACCCCGGCGAGGGGAGUGAAAAAGAACCUGAAACCGUGUACGUACAAGCAGUGGGAGCACGCUUAGGCGUGUGACUGCGUACCUUUUGUAUAAUGGGUCAGCGACUUAUAUUCUGUAGCAAGGUUAACCGAAUAGGGGAGCCGAAGGGAAACCGAGUCUUAACUGGGCGUUAAGUUGCAGGGUAUAGACCCGAAACCCGGUGAUCUAGCCAUGGGCAGGUUGAAGGUUGGGUAACACUAACUGGAGGACCGAACCGACUAAUGUUGAAAAAUUAGCGGAUGACUUGUGGCUGGGGGUGAAAGGCCAAUCAAACCGGGAGAUAGCUGGUUCUCCCCGAAAGCUAUUUAGGUAGCGCCUCGUGAAUUCAUCUCCGGGGGUAGAGCACUGUUUCGGCAAGGGGGUCAUCCCGACUUACCAACCCGAUGCAAACUGCGAAUACCGGAGAAUGUUAUCACGGGAGACACACGGCGGGUGCUAACGUCCGUCGUGAAGAGGGAAACAACCCAGACCGCCAGCUAAGGUCCCAAAGUCAUGGUUAAGUGGGAAACGAUGUGGGAAGGCCCAGACAGCCAGGAUGUUGGCUUAGAAGCAGCCAUCAUUUAAAGAAAGCGUAAUAGCUCACUGGUCGAGUCGGCCUGCGCGGAAGAUGUAACGGGGCUAAACCAUGCACCGAAGCUGCGGCAGCGACACUAUGUGUUGUUGGGUAGGGGAGCGUUCUGUAAGCCUGUGAAGGUGUGCUGUGAGGCAUGCUGGAGGUAUCAGAAGUGCGAAUGCUGACAUAAGUAACGAUAAAGCGGGUGAAAAGCCCGCUCGCCGGAAGACCAAGGGUUCCUGUCCAACGUUAAUCGGGGCAGGGUGAGUCGACCCCUAAGGCGAGGCCGAAAGGCGUAGUCGAUGGGAAACAGGUUAAUAUUCCUGUACUUGGUGUUACUGCGAAGGGGGGACGGAGAAGGCUAUGUUGGCCGGGCGACGGUUGUCCCGGUUUAAGCGUGUAGGCUGGUUUUCCAGGCAAAUCCGGAAAAUCAAGGCUGAGGCGUGAUGACGAGGCACUACGGUGCUGAAGCAACAAAUGCCCUGCUUCCAGGAAAAGCCUCUAAGCAUCAGGUAACAUCAAAUCGUACCCCAAACCGACACAGGUGGUCAGGUAGAGAAUACCAAGGCGCUUGAGAGAACUCGGGUGAAGGAACUAGGCAAAAUGGUGCCGUAACUUCGGGAGAAGGCACGCUGAUAUGUAGGUGAAGUCCCUCGCGGAUGGAGCUGAAAUCAGUCGAAGAUACCAGCUGGCUGCAACUGUUUAUUAAAAACACAGCACUGUGCAAACACGAAAGUGGACGUAU